GGAGACGUGAAAACUUCACGUUCUUUGCUAUAAACUUUGUGAGAUACGGAUUUAGGCACCUGUGCACAUUUUCAAGUUAUGCCCUUCUAGGGAAAAAUGCUUCUGGCUUGCAAAUCUAUAUACAGAAAUCAAAGCGAUCCUCACAACCCCUUGUGAGUAAAGGAAAGCGCAGAACUGACACAGAUUGGAUGAUGUGUUAAAAACGGGUUUUGGGAAAAGCUGGAACGUGGCUGAAGCGCCAUGAGUACAUGGUCCGGCUCCCUCCCCCGCUCCUUCCUGACCCCAGCUCUGUUUCCGUCCCUCUGUGUAUUCCAGGAACUGUUUACAGGUUUCUUAAAACAGUUCACAAUAAUGACUGUUAAUAGCCCCACCUCUCGUUCUGAGGACAGAGAGGGAGCUGGACACAGGACAGGCUGGGCUGAGAGCAGAGGGCAAGUCCCCGUGCCCCAGGCCAGCUUUGGGGCCAUAGAAGCUGCCAGAAAUGAUCAAGCCGGAGCAAGUGCCGGCCUCCAGGGGCGAGCUGAGGUCUGCCCUGCAUGGGACGGCCACCCGGUGGGGGCCGCCCUGUGUCCUAGAAAGAUCUGGGGUGCUGGGUCCGACACACACAGACAGGGACGACUCGCCUCCAAACCAAAGCAAAGUCAUCACUUCUUCUUCCAUAGAAAACAAUUAUGGAUUAUUCCAGACAAUUAAGUCCAACUACCCAGGCUGUUCCAGCUUCUGAGCUCAAGGAUUUGCUGCUCAAUUUAAAAUUAAACAAACGUCUCUGGCAAAUCCUCAGCUGGGCUGUGUGAAGCACAGAUCGGAAUGCCAGGCAGGGCUGAUGGGGAACAGGCUGCCGGCGCCCCCGAGGAUGCGCGAUCUGUGCAGGCCUUUGAAAGAGCAGAAGUGUUCAUUUUGGUGAAGUCCAGCACAUUGCCUUGCCCUGUUACAGAGCGUGCUUUUGAGGACGCACCCAGGGAAGCGUGGCCCGGCCCGUGGUCACUAAGGCUUCAUCCUAGCUCUGGUCUUCUGAGAACGUAUCCAGGGAAGCGUGGCCCAGCCCGCGGUCACAAAGGCUUCGUCGUCACUCUGCAGUCUUCUGAGGACGUAUCCAGGGAAGCGUGGCCCGGCCCACGGUCAUGAAGGCUUCGUCGUCACUCUGCAGUCUUCUGAGGACGUAUCCAGGGAAUCGUGGCCCGGCCUGCGGUCAUGAAGGCUUUGUCCUAGCUCUGCGGUUCUGGGCUUUACCUUCAGGCCCCUGACACAACCGGGGUAGGUUUUUCACUCCCAGUUCACUUUCUGGCAUGUGAGUAAUCCUAUCAUGACAGCACCCUUAUUAAAAGACUCCAUUAAAUGGUC
Macaca mulatta (Rhesus monkey) is the source of this 1341-nucleotide non-coding RNA. Lineage: Eukaryota; Metazoa; Chordata; Mammalia; Primates; Cercopithecidae. The record is from RefSeq and is a predicted model, not a curated record.